AACGAACGCUGGCGGCAUGCCUAACACAUGCAAGUCGAACGAGACCUUCGGGUCUAGUGGCGCACGGGUGCGUAACGCGUGGGAACCUGCCCUUAGGUUCGGAAUAACUCCCCGAAAGGGGUGCUAAUACCGGAUAAUGUCUUCGGACCAAAGAUUUAUCGCCUUUGGAUGGGCCCGCGUUGGAUUAGCUAGUUGGUAGGGUAAAAGCCUACCAAGGCGACGAUCCAUAGCUGGUCUGAGAGGAUGAUCAGCCACACUGGGACUGAGACACGGCCCAGACCCCCAGGGGAGGCAGGAGGGGGGAAUUUGGGAAAAGGGGCAAAAGCCGAAUCCAGCAAGGCCGGGGGGGGGAGAAAGGCUUUGGGGUUGAAAAGCUUUUUUACCCGGGAGGAAAAGGACAGUACCGGGAAAAAAAGCCCCGGCAAACUCCGU
Molecule: ribosomal RNA, 432 nt
Filed under: uncultured bacterium
Lineage: Bacteria
Description: partial 16S ribosomal RNA
Rfam family: Bacterial small subunit ribosomal RNA
Source: RNAcentral